RNAcentral lists this transfer RNA (77 nucleotides) under Clostridiales bacterium. RNAcentral describes it as "tRNA-Arg". It matches the Rfam family "tRNA". Rfam says of the family: Transfer RNA (tRNA) molecules are approximately 80 nucleotides in length. Their secondary structure includes four short double-helical elements and three loops (D, anti-codon, and T loops). Further hydrogen bonds mediate the characteristic L-shaped molecular structure. tRNAs have two regions of fundamental functional importance: the anti-codon, which is responsible for specific mRNA codon recognition, and the 3' end, to which the tRNAs corresponding amino acid is attached (by aminoacyl-tRNA synthetases). tRNAs cope with the degeneracy of the genetic code in two manners: having more than one tRNA (with a specific anti-codon) for a particular amino acid; and 'wobble' base-pairing, i.e. permitting non-standard base-pairing at the 3rd anti-codon position. The record is from RNAcentral. Lineage: Bacteria; Bacillati; Bacillota; Clostridia; Eubacteriales.
ACACCCGUAGCUCAGCUGGAUAGAGUAACAGAUUCCGAUUCUGGGGGUCGCAGGUUCGAAUCCUGUCGGGUGUACCA